GCGAAGCAGCGAGAACGAUCUCGCGCGUGCGAAAACGCUUCGGCGAGUAAGCGAAGGACGACAGCUGUGAGGCGUCGUCGAUACUCGGCGAAUUCUGUGCGAGGGAAGCGGCGAGACCGAUCAAGUGGAGGACAGCAGCCGCGAGACUUCGCCGGUACUCGGCGAAUUCGUAGAUGCGAAGGACUCCACAUCAGCCAGCAACGCGGUGACGACGGUUGCAAACGCAUGGAUACCGGCUAACGGAUCCUAGCCCAGAUCGUGGCCAGUGACAUCAGUGUUGUCCACCCCCAUCACUUCCUCAUGAAUCUCUGAACCCACGACGAGCGCAUGGGUAAGGAUCAGGUUCCCGCAGAGGACGACAUGGAGCUCGUCCCGACGACAUCACGCCUGGCCGGCCGUGCCGCCCGGGUCUGCCGCGCUGGUGGUCCGUCACGAACCUCUACUUAUGUGCAUGUCGGAAUUCAUCCAAGCAGAUGUACGUGCAUGCACAACCAGCUGAUCAGGCACCAAGAGCCCAGCUACCUACGUGCAUGCCGGCCGGACCUCAUCCAAGCAGAUGUACAGAUGCACAGGUUGAGCCCACCAAGCCCAGCCUCUAGGAUUGGUUGGAGAUCCAAAUAUAUGUCUAUUCAUAUAAAAUAAUUUACAUACAGGGUGAAGUCCCCAAUUGAAAAGGCUUGGUCAUAUACGCUACAAUUACAUGUUCAAGUUGUCGUUUCUAUAAUAUUAUUUCAUAACGUUCCAGUUAGUUUUUUCUGAACCCAUGCACAUACAUGAGCAUGUACACAUGUCUGGUGUGGAUGAAAUUUAAUCUAGUUAUGUAUAUGCAUGUAGCUCAGUUGCGUUGAUCAAUUUAUUGCAAGUUAGUCAAUAAUCAAGACAGUGAUGGAUUAUUAAUUUUUGUGCGAAAAAGUGAUGGAUUUUUUUUCAA
Molecule: long non-coding RNA, 931 nt
Organism: Triticum dicoccoides
Lineage: Eukaryota; Viridiplantae; Streptophyta; Magnoliopsida; Poales; Poaceae
Exons: 2
Source: RefSeq, a predicted model, not a curated record